RNAcentral lists this ribosomal RNA (472 nucleotides) under uncultured Methanolinea sp. RNAcentral describes it as "bacterial SSU rRNA". It matches the Rfam family "Archaeal small subunit ribosomal RNA", at positions 871 to 1337 of the family's 1478-position model. Lineage: Archaea; Methanobacteriati; Methanobacteriota; Methanomicrobia; Methanomicrobiales; Methanoregulaceae. The record is from RNAcentral.
UUGACGGGGAGCACUACAACGGGUGGAGCCUGCGGUUUAAUUGGAUUCAACGCCGGAAUCUUACCGGGACCGACAGCAAUAUGAAGGCCAGGCUGAAGACUUUGCCGGAUUAGCUGAGAGGUGGUGCAUGGCCGUCGUUAGUUCGUACUGUGAAGCAUCCUGUUAAGUCAGGCAACGAGCGAGACCCACGCCCACAGUUGCCAGCGUACUCUCUGGAGUGACGGGUACACUGUGGGGACCGCCGCUGCUAAAGCGGAGGAAGGAAUGGGCAACGGUAGGUCAGUAUGCCCCGAAUAUCCCGGGCUACACGCGAGCUACAAUGGUUGGUACAAUGGGUAUCUACCCCGAAAGGGGACGGGAAUCUCCUAAACCCAUCCGUAGUUCGGAUUGUGGGCUGCAACUCGCCCACAUGAAGCUGGAAUCUGUAGUAAUCGUGUCUCAAAAUGGCACGGUGAAUAUGUCCCUGCUCCUU